UACGUAGGGUGCGAGCGUUAAUCGGAAUUACUGGGCGUAAAGCGUGCGCAGGCGGUUUUUGUAAGCCAGAUGUGAAAUCCCCGGGCUUAACCUGGGAAUGGCAUUUGGGACUGCAGCGCUUGGAGUAUGGCAGAGGGGGGUGGAAUUCCACGUGUAGCAGUGAAAUGCGUAGAGAUGUGGAGGAACACCGAUGGCGAAGGCAGCCCCCUGGGUCAAGAUUGACGCUCAUGCACGAAAGCGUGGGGAGCAAACAG
This 254-nucleotide ribosomal RNA is filed under the name uncultured bacterium. RNAcentral describes it as "partial 16S ribosomal RNA". It matches the Rfam family "Bacterial small subunit ribosomal RNA", at positions 524 to 775 of the family's 1533-position model. The record is from RNAcentral.